CGCCUUGCCAGCCCGCUCAGAAACUUAAAGGAAUUGACGGGGGCCCGCACAAGCGGUGGAGCAUGUGGUUUAAUUCGAUGAUACGCGAGGAACCUUACCUGGGCUCAAAUGUAUGUUGACGUAUUCUGAAAGGGAUACUUCUUCGGACAAUAUACAAGGUGCUGCAUGGUUGUCGUCAGCUCGUGCCGUGAGGUGUCGGGUUAAGUCCCAUAACGAGCGCAACCCCUAUCAUUAGUUGCCAUCAGGUCAAGCUGGGGACUCUAAUGAAACUGCCUACGCAAGUAGUGAGGAAGGUGGGGAUGACGUCAAAUCAGCACGGCCCUUACGUCCAGGGCUACACACGUGCUACAAUGGUCGGUACAAAGGGUUGCCAAGCCGCGAGGUGGAGCUAAUCCCAUAAAACCGAUCGUAGUCCGGAUCGCAGUCUGCAACUCGACUGCGUGAAGUCGGAAUCGCUAGUAAUCGUGAAUCAGAAUGUCACGGUGAAUACGUUCCCGGGCCUU
Molecule: ribosomal RNA, 503 nt
Filed under: uncultured Sphingobacteriales bacterium
Lineage: Bacteria; Pseudomonadati; Bacteroidota; Sphingobacteriia; Sphingobacteriales
Description: bacterial SSU rRNA
Rfam family: Bacterial small subunit ribosomal RNA
Source: RNAcentral